UGUUUUCUCUUACCAUAGCACCUGUAACGGAUUCCGGAUAUGUUAAUUUGUACGGUACUGAUAUUACAGAACGAAAGCAGGCCGAAGAAAACCUCAGGAACUAUCGACAACGAUUGGAAGAACUGGUCCACAUCCGCACGGGGGAAUUGGCAGAAACAAACAAGAAGCUGCUGCUGGAAAUCGAAGGUCGCAUACGCCUGGAAAAAGAGAUUUUGAAUAUCAGCGAGCGCGAGCAGAAGCGAAUAGGACAGGAGCUUCACGACAGUAUCGGUCAACAAUUUACGGGUAUUGCGUUUUUGACGAAGGUAUUAGAACAAAAACUAACUGGGAAAUUGUCUGAUGAGGCCGCAGAAGCCACAGAGAUAAAGAAACUUGUUAACCUGGCAAUGAACCAGAUGCGAAGCCUUGCCAAGGGGCUUCAUCCUGUAAAUCUGGAUGCGGGCAGUUUCACUUCAGCUCUGCAGGAGCUUGCAACAACUACAGAGAAUCUGUUUGGUAUCCGCUGCACUCUCAAAUACGAUAGGCCAAUUAAGAUAGACGAUGCCGAAGUGGCAACGCACCUUUAUCGUAUUACUCAGGAGGCCAUUACUAAUGCAAUCAAACACGGCAAGACAAAGAAUAUUCAUAUAGAAUUAGGCCAAAAGAAAGAUAAAUCAGUCCUUAAAAUCGAGAACGACGGGCUUGAUUUUCCCGAAAGAAUUC
Molecule: ribosomal RNA, 702 nt
Filed under: uncultured archaeon
Lineage: Archaea
Description: partial 16S ribosomal RNA
Source: RNAcentral